UUCUGGCUCAGGAUGAACGCUAGCGACAGGCUUAACACAUGCAAGUCGAGGGGCAGCAUAAAAGUAGCAAUACUUGGUGGCGACCGGCGCACGGGUGAGUAACGCGUAUGCAACCUACCUAUCAGAGGGGAAUAACCCGGCGAAAGUCGGACUAAUACCGCAUAAAACAGGGGCACCGCAUGGUGAUAUUUGUUAAAGAAAUUCGCUGAUAGAUGGGCAUGCGUUCCAUUAGGUAGUUGGUGAGGUAACGGCUCACCAAGCCGACGAUGGAUAGGGGAACUGAGAGGUUGGUCCCCCACACUGGUACUGAGACACGGACCAGACUCCUACGGGAGGCAGCAGUGAGGAAUAUUGGUCAAUGGGCGGGAGCCUGAACCAGCCAAGUCGCGUGGAAAGGAAGAAGGAUCUAUGGUUCGUAAACUUCUUUUGCAGGGGAAUAAAGUGCAGGACGUGUCCUGUUUUGUAUGUACCCUGAGAAUAAGGAUCGGCUAACUCCGUGCCAGCAGCGGC
RNAcentral lists this ribosomal RNA (510 nucleotides) under uncultured bacterium. RNAcentral's name for it is "bacterial SSU rRNA". It matches the Rfam family "Bacterial small subunit ribosomal RNA", at positions 17 to 518 of the family's 1533-position model. The record is from RNAcentral.